UAGUACAGAGAUCACAGAGAAAAAGAGAGAGAAAGAAGAUUGGGAUUCGAAAAAACCUCUUCCUCUUUCCUCUCUUUUCUUCCUCUGUGA
RNAcentral lists this unclassified non-coding RNA (90 nucleotides) under Candidatus Kentrum sp. FM. Its description in RNAcentral is "Candidatus Kentron sp. FM microRNA mir-684". Lineage: Bacteria; Pseudomonadati; Pseudomonadota; Gammaproteobacteria. The record is from RNAcentral.